RNAcentral lists this ribosomal RNA (375 nucleotides) under Triticum aestivum (bread wheat). Its description in RNAcentral is "partial small subunit ribosomal RNA". Lineage: Eukaryota; Viridiplantae; Streptophyta; Magnoliopsida; Poales; Poaceae. The record is from RNAcentral.
AUGGAUGAUGAGGGGAGAAUUUUUUGGCAGAACCUCCCCUGGAAAUGGACGACCGGGGAAGAAAAUUUGGGCAGAGCCUCCCCAAGUCAAAACCUAAGAUUUGGGAAGAAGGAUUUGGCUGAGGUGGCGGGCUUUUGGCCACUGUGGACGGGGCUGGACAGCAGCCAAGAAACAGAUUGUGCUCUGCUGUUUGGCGUGCUCUCACGGCGGAGCGGAAGGAAACCUAGCAAGGGAGCUGGGGAAGAGGGGAAAAGGGAAUUGAAGCUUGGUGCAGAGGCGGCAUUUAUAGCCGGGAAACGGGCGGGUUUGGCGAGAGAAACAAUUGCGAGAGAAAUUGGUAAUGGUGGUGGUGGUGGUGGUGGACGGGAAAGGUGA